UGGAAAAUCAAGGCCCUCAGAACAUCCUCAAGAGGAGGAAAUGCAGAAGCUCAAAAAAGAAUUUGAAGCGUGGCAAUAAGCUGCCAAGCUCAAGGAAUGUUGAAAGGUUGUAAUCUUGGUCUGGUGCUUGCCCGAGAGAACUGAAGAAGCAAAAAUUAGUAAUCAAUACCAUUGACAAGUGAUAAUCCUGUAGAAACGAUGAAAGAAAGAGCAGGCUUACGUCAUAGACACAAAGGUGGAA
RNAcentral lists this unclassified non-coding RNA (241 nucleotides) under Hevea brasiliensis (rubber tree). The record is from RNAcentral. Lineage: Eukaryota; Viridiplantae; Streptophyta; Magnoliopsida; Malpighiales; Euphorbiaceae.